RNAcentral lists this ribosomal RNA (465 nucleotides) under Vreelandella stevensii. Its description in RNAcentral is "partial 16S ribosomal RNA". It matches the Rfam family "Bacterial small subunit ribosomal RNA", at positions 338 to 795 of the family's 1533-position model. Lineage: Bacteria; Pseudomonadati; Pseudomonadota; Gammaproteobacteria; Oceanospirillales; Halomonadaceae. The record is from RNAcentral.
CCUACGGGUGGCAGCAGUGGGGAAUAUUGGACAAUGGGGGCAACCCUGAUCCAGCCAUGCCGCGUGUGUGAAGAAGGCCCUCGGGUUGUAAAGCACUUUCAGUGAGGAAGAACGCCUGGUGGUUAAUACCCAUCAGGAAAGACAUCACUCACAGAAGAAGCACCGGCUAACUCCGUGCCAGCAGCCGCGGUAAUACGGAGGGUGCGAGCGUUAAUCGGAAUUACUGGGCGUAAAGCGCGCGUAGGUGGCUUGAUAAGCCGGUUGUGAAAGCCCCGGGCUCAACCUGGGAACGGCAUCCGGAACUGUCAAGCUAGGGUGCAGGAGAGGAAGGUAGAAUUCCCGGUGUAGCGGUGAAAUGCGUAGAGAUCGGGAGGAAUACCAGUGGCGAAGGCGGCCUUCUGGACUGACACUGACACUGAGGUGCGAAAGCGUGGGUAGAAAACAGGAUUAGAUACCCUGGUAGUC